RNAcentral lists this ribosomal RNA (430 nucleotides) under Bacillota bacterium. RNAcentral describes it as "Firmicutes bacterium partial 16S ribosomal RNA". It matches the Rfam family "Bacterial small subunit ribosomal RNA", at positions 355 to 776 of the family's 1533-position model. The record is from RNAcentral. Lineage: Bacteria; Bacillati; Bacillota.
UGGGGAAUAUUGGACAAUGGGCGCAAGCCUGAUCCAGACAUGCCGCGUGUGUGAAGAAGGCCUUUUGGUUGUAAAGCACUUUAAGCGAGGAGGAGGCUACUUGGAUUAAUACUCUAAGAUAGUGGACGAUACUCGCAGAAUAAGCACCGGCUAACUAUGUGCAAGCAGCCGCGGUAAUACAGAGGGUGUGAGCGUUAAUCGGAUUUACUGGGCGUAAAGCGUGCGUAGGCGGCUAGUUAAGUCGGAUGUGAAAUCCCUGAGCUUAACUUAGGAAUUGCAUUCGAUACUGGGAAGCUAGAGUAUGGGAGAGGAUGGUAGAAUUCCAGGUGUAGCGGUGAAAUGCGUAGAGAUCUGGAGGAAUACCGAUGGCGAAGGCAGCCAUCUGGCCUAAUACUGACGCUGAGGUACGAAAGCAUGGGGAGCAAACAGG